Molecule: long non-coding RNA, 1379 nt
Organism: Vicia villosa (hairy vetch)
Lineage: Eukaryota; Viridiplantae; Streptophyta; Magnoliopsida; Fabales; Fabaceae
Exons: 3
Source: RefSeq, a predicted model, not a curated record
GUUUCAGUUCUAUCGUGAAUUCGCCUCUCACCCUCGUUCUCACCGGCACAAACGAACGGCGCCGGAGAAGCUUCUUUCUCCGAGCGGCCACCAUUAGACCAAACUCUCUUUCGGUUCCCUCUCUCGCUUGUUUUCCUCACCUCAUCCCUCAAUUUCUCGCUUAAAAAUCUAACAAGAGUAAACCCUAAGUCUAACAGAGUAGAUUCAAGUCUAAGCAUCAACGAAUUCCAGUCAAUCGAGGUUGAAACAAGCAUCACGGCAAGAAUAAUGAACAAUAGAGGGCAAGAAUGAAUGAUUAGGGAACUUACUGACCGGAGUAGCUUCCGGUGACUCUUCAAACUGAUGGCGUCAGAGAUGUGUCUUCGUGAAAUCCAGAGAUGCCGAUGAAAGAUUGGUAUGAAGUUGCGCGAGGAUGAAGAAGAAUUUGAAGGUGCUGAUGGGAAACUUUGAUUCGGUUCUUGGUGAAUGAUUUUCUGAAUGAUUGAUCGGAGAUUAUCGUGACGAUUCUUGGAGAAGAUUGAAGAUUGAGAGAGGGAAGAAUUGAACUCGAAAGUGAACUCGUAGAUGAAGAUGAAGACGGAGCUUCUGAGGUUUUCUGGUUUUUGUUGCAGAGAGGUGAAGGUGGAUCAAGUGGAAGAAAAUGGUGUUGAGUGGAAGAAGAUGAAGGAAUAGAGUUCAGAGAGAAUAUGAAUUGAGAGUGGAAGGAGAUGAUGGACUGAUUUAUGAAGAAAAUGGUGGAGAGAAGGAAAGUGGUGAAGAAUGAAUGAAUGGAGAAGGUUAUGGUGUAUAAAGAUGAAUGAAGAAGAAGAUUGAAGAUGGAGGGAGAAGUGAAGAGAUGAAGAUGAUGAUGAAUGGUGAGAAGUGAUGAAGUGAAUUGUGGAAAAUGGUGGAGGAAGCUGAGAAAUGAAGAAUGGUUCUGUUAUAUAGAGAUUGAAGCUGAGAAGGUUCUGAUUUGCAUUUGAAUUGGUGGCAUGCGUUGUUUACCGGCGAGUUUUGCCGGAGCUUUAGUAUGCAUCAGAUUUUCCAGAAAGGAAGACUUUGGAGAAGGCCUUAAAUCAGACAUGGUGCAAAAUCUUUACAUCUUUGGUGGAGCUGAGAACGCAACUGCAGAUAUAUACAUAUGUAUCGGGCAGCAAACUGUUUGAUUGAGGCAUAGGUUUAAGAUAGCACCAUUAGCAUCUUGUGUAACUUAAAUAUAAAACACUUGUGAAUCUGUAUAAUUCUAACUGAAAGGCAUCUUUCUUUCCACCUGACUUUCCUUUUUCUUUUUAAUGUGAAUGACACUUGAAGUUGUACCAUAGAUUUUGUAUAAGCUUGGAAUUCUAGUGUCUUCAUUAUGUAAUGCACCACUUUGAGAAUGACUUUGGAUGAAGCUUGAU